This 475-nucleotide ribosomal RNA is filed under the name uncultured bacterium. RNAcentral's name for it is "bacterial SSU rRNA". It matches the Rfam family "Bacterial small subunit ribosomal RNA", at positions 28 to 502 of the family's 1533-position model. The record is from RNAcentral.
GAUGAACGCUGGCGGCGUGCUUAACACAUGCAAGUCGAACGAAGCAUUUAGAACAGAUUAUUUCGGUAUGAAGUUCUUUAUGACUGAGUGGCGGACGGGUGAGUAACGCGUGGGUAACCUGCCUUGUACUGGGGGAUAGCAGCUGGAAACGGCUGGUAAUACCGCAUAAGCGCACGGUGCUGCAUGGCACAGUGUGAAAAACUCCGGUGGUAUAAGAUGGACCCGCGUCUGAUUAGCUAGUUGGUGAGAUAACAGCCCACCAAGGCGACGAUCAGUAGCCGACCUGAGAGGGUGACCGGCCACAUUGGGACUGAGACACGGCCCAGACUCCUACGGGAGGCAGCAGUGGGGAAUAUUGCACAAUGGAGGAAACUCUGAUGCAGCGACGCCGCGUGAGUGAAGAGUAAUUCGUUAUGUAAAGCUCUAUCAGCAGGGAAGAUAGUGACGGUACCUGACUAAGAAGCUCCGGCUAAAU